Lotus japonicus is the source of this 1663-nucleotide long non-coding RNA. RefSeq lists it as uncharacterized. The record is from RefSeq and is a predicted model, not a curated record. NCBI's taxonomy places the organism in Eukaryota, Viridiplantae, Streptophyta, Magnoliopsida, Fabales, Fabaceae. The transcript is spliced from 9 exons.
UUACAACACCACCACCACCACCACCACCACCACCAUGACCAAAGAAUCUCCGCUCAACCUUUUCUCAAACGCAUCCAAAAUUUCUCCAAAUUGCAUAGAUGCAUAGCCUUAGAUUUUUCUCUCUCUACCAAAUCAUCUUCCCGAUUCAAGCUUCAGAGAGGGAAUCAGGAAGAUGACUAACCAAAACCGCUUCCUGAUUUUAUUCCGGAUCAUCGUAGGCCCUGAUGCUUUUGAUUAACCUGGCGGCGGCGGCGAGAAGAGGAACGAAGUUGAGUGGUUAAAGCACCUCAGCCGUUUUUCUUCAAUGUUAUGUGGCUGAUUCUCUGUCUCUUUCACAGGAUCAGAUCGUGUUUUCAUUCACCACUCUUCACUCAAAAUGAGCAGCUCAAUGGAAAACUCGCUAGAUUGGUUGUGUUCUUUUCUGAAACAUAUGGAAAUAUAAGGAUGGCUAGAGUGUGCUGGUUUGGAAAGCUUACUGCUUCCUAUCAUGUGCUUCUCUUUGCUGGUGAGUGGUGAUGGUGUCAAAGUAGAUGAGGAGAUGUCAAAGUUACUUCCUUCUCAAAAAAAGAAAAUGAGACAAAAACAAAGAAAGGCAGAAGCAAGAGCUAAGAAAGGGGCAUAGGAAAAGAAUGAAGAGUUAAGUGCCAGUGAGGUAUCCAAGUCUAGAAAACGGCAUGUAAAACCUGUGAAUCCUGAUCCACAUGGGGAGAAGUUAUUGCAGGUGGAUCGGGUAUAUCUUGGUUCAUACAAUGUGGUAGCUGUCUUAGAUCAUGAAAGGAAGCGAACAUUUAUGAUAAGAAAGGAAGGACUUCUUGGUAAGUUCUCUAUAGGCAACACUUGCAACUCAAAUCAAGUACUAUAAUUAGUAAAACUAACCAUCCAAAUUAACUUUGGUGUUUCAUAGUUGUUUGGAAUCCGCAGGAGAAAAAAUCCAAGUCAGUGGUAAAUUUAGGGGAUGAAGAGUAGAAGCAGCUGCUAUGUGUGAAUGGUGCUGCAGUUUGAAAACCAAUCACCUUAAAGCCAGGAGAAGAAUGGAAAGGUAUAACUGGAGCUAGAACACCAGUUUCACUCUUAUAUAACAUAUCUAUUUUUGGGAGCCUCAGAGUCAAUGGACCCAACUUCUAUGUUUCUGCUAAGAAUUAUGCAGAUAUUCUCUUUGGCAAACAAGAUUACAAUUCAAGGUAUUUAUUUCAGUUCAUAUGUUGCAGAUAAAUUUUUUUCAUCAAGUGAGAUCCAUGAGUACUCCUAUGUCUGAAAGCGAGAAACUGAUAUGGAGUGUUUUAGAAGCUGAGCGCUCAACUAUUAGUCAGCUGCAUGAGAAAACUCUGUUUGAGGCAAACAACUCUUUCCUUGAAAAACAUAAAGAUUCUUUGCAGAAUUGUUUCUUCAUUAUUUUGUUUCUUCUCUAGAGACAGAAAAGAUUGCAGAAAGGCUAACCCGUUUAUUGAAUGUAUCAGAUUUAGAGUGAGAUUAUGCUAUAGGUUGAAAUGCAGUGAAUGCUUGAAGUUUAGAAAAUUUGUGCACUUUUUAAUGUUCAUGAAUAAUGGUGAAUCUAUCCAGGAGCACCUCUAAAAAACCCUCCAAAAGGCACUGCAAACCUAUUCAAUUCAAGACACACAUACCAUAUAAUCUAAUUCAAAUUACGUGAUUUCAUUUUAAUGCA